Molecule: ribosomal RNA, 472 nt
Filed under: uncultured bacterium
Lineage: Bacteria
Description: partial 16S ribosomal RNA
Rfam family: Bacterial small subunit ribosomal RNA
Source: RNAcentral
UGGGGAAUAUUGCACAAUGGGCGAAAGCCUGAUGCAGCGACGCCGCGUGCGGGAUGAAGGCCUUCGGGUUGUAAACCGCUUUUGAUUGGGAGCAAGCGAGAGUGAGUGUACCUUUCGAAUAAGCACCGGCUAACUACGUGCCAGCAGCCGCGGUAAUACGUAGGGUGCAAGCGUUAUCCGGAAUUAUUGGGCGUAAAGAGCUCGUAGGCGGUUUGUCGCGUCUGGUGUGAAAGUCCAUCGCUUAACGGUGGAUCUGCGCCGGGUACGGGCAGGCUAGAGUGCGACAGGGGAGACUGGAAUUCCCGGUGUAACGGUGGAAUGUGUAGAUAUCGGGAAGAACACCAAUGGCGAAGGCAGGUCUCUGGGUCGUCACUGACGCUGAGGAGCGAAAGCGUGGGGAGCGAACAGGAUUAGAUACCCUGGUAGUCCACGCCGUAAACGGUGGAUGCUGGAUGUGGGGCCCAUUCCACGG